Molecule: microRNA, 21 nt
Filed under: Brachypodium distachyon (stiff brome)
Lineage: Eukaryota; Viridiplantae; Streptophyta; Magnoliopsida; Poales; Poaceae
Description: bdi-miR7769-3p (MIR7769)
Source: RNAcentral
GUCAUGUUGGCACUGAUGGGU